RNAcentral lists this ribosomal RNA (637 nucleotides) under uncultured fungus. RNAcentral's name for it is "eukaryotic LSU rRNA". The stretch from base 193 to 346 matches the Rfam family "5.8S ribosomal RNA". Lineage: Eukaryota; Fungi. The record is from RNAcentral.
AGUCGUAACAAGGUUUCCGUAGGUGAACCUGCGGAAGGAUCAUUCAUAAUAAGUGUUUUAUGGCACUUUUUAAAUCCAUAUCCACCUUGUGUGCAAUGUCAGUCGGUCUUCUCUAUGGAGAUCGGCCAAACAUCAACCUAAUUUUUUAACUCUUUGUCUGAAAAAUAUUAUGAAUAAAAUAAUUCAAAAUACAACUUUCAACAACGGAUCUCUUGGCUCUCGCAUCGAUGAAGAACGCAGCGAAAUGCGAUACGUAAUGUGAAUUGCAGAAUUCAGUGAAUCAUCGAAUCUUUGAACGCAUAUUGCGCUCUUUGGUAUUCCGAAGAGCAUGCUUGUUUGAGUAUCAGUAAACACCUCAAAGCUUUUGAUUUUUUUUUGAAAGCUUUGGACUUGAGCAAUCCCAACACCAGUCUUUUUUAGAUCGGAGGCGGGUUGCUUGAAAUGCAGGUGCAGCUGGACAUUCUCCUGAGCUAAAAGCAUAUUCAUUUAGUCCCGUCAAACGGAUUAUUACUUUUGCUGCAGCUAACAUAAAGGGAGUUUGACCGUAUUGGCUGACUGAUGCAGGAUUUCACAGGGGUCGGCAACGACGCUUGUUAAACUCGAUCUCAAAUCAAGUAAGACUACCCGCUGAACUUAA